UACGGGGGGGGCAAGCGUUGUUCGGAAUUACUGGGCGUAAAGGGCUCGUAGGCGGCCAACUAAGUCAUACGUGAAAUCCCUCGGCUUAACCGGGGAACUGCGUCUGAUACUGGAUGGCUUGAGUUCGGGAGAGGGAUGCGGAAUUCCAGGUGUAGCGGUGAAAUGCGUAGAUAUCUGGAGGAACACCGGUGGCGAAGGCGGCAUCCUGGACCGACACUGACACUGAGGGACGAAAGCUAGGGGAGCGAAUGGG
RNAcentral lists this ribosomal RNA (253 nucleotides) under uncultured bacterium. RNAcentral describes it as "partial 16S ribosomal RNA". It matches the Rfam family "Bacterial small subunit ribosomal RNA", at positions 524 to 776 of the family's 1533-position model. The record is from RNAcentral.